GAAUCAAUAAAUCGCGUUUAGUGGUCAAUUCAAUGCUAUAUAAUUGUAAGCAGGCUGAAACCGGCCAUUUAAUUGUAUAUAAUUCAUUUUCAUCUCGUGUAGAUCAUCAGUCCAUUCACGCCCAAAUCGACCCCGACAAAAACCAUUCGCCAUACUCACACAAAUCUAUUUAAAUAAGAAGCCAAUCAGAAAUUUAUUGAUGAUGGAAUGAAGACAAAGUUGAACAAGAAGCGGAAGAGGGGUACCUAAAUGUUGUUCGUACAAAAGAACUACAAUUAUAAUUUGUUCGAUCCCUAAUUUCCUUUUCCAUUUCAACAUCACGACUUGACCUGAUUACUCACAGAAAUCGCGGACCCUUCGUCUCUCUCUCUCUCUCGGUGAUGCAGAUUUGAAUCAGUUAUCAAAUUGAAGUUUAAUUCGAUAAUGUAUGCACAUAUGUACAAACAGGUUCUUGCGCAGACAAGUGAAGUAAGAAAAUAAAGUUCAAGCACAAUCAAAUGAAGCGCCAAAACUAAAAAAGCCUCCGGUUUUUAAGCGCCUUAGACUCCGGGCUCGGUCUACGCGUCUUGUGUGCGCCUAGGCGCUUUGACAACAGAGGUAGUACAAUGAUGCAAUCUGCACCAUUUGAUCAAACUAAAAAGAAGGACGUUAUUCAAGAUGUCAAUUAUCGUAUUGGUGAAGAUGAAGAAGCAAAAGGAAUUGUCUUGCAACAACAAAAACUUCCAUGGGAAGGAACAAAUAUUAGGAGCCAAAGCAAACUUAAAUUCAUAGUUUAUUGUUGUUAUAUGAAUUGUUGCUAAAUUUUGUAAUUAACUUCUGGGUCGAGUCUUCUAAAUUCUUCAUGAUAACAACCCUGAGGUUGCUGGAGACAGAAGAGAACGGUCAUGAGCAGGGGCGGA
This is a long non-coding RNA of Helianthus annuus (common sunflower), 899 nucleotides long. RefSeq lists it as uncharacterized. The transcript is spliced from 3 exons. The record is from RefSeq and is a predicted model, not a curated record. NCBI's taxonomy places the organism in Eukaryota, Viridiplantae, Streptophyta, Magnoliopsida, Asterales, Asteraceae.